GUCGAGGGGCAUCAGUUUGGUUUGCUUGCAAACCAAAGCUGGCGACCGGCGCACGGGUGAGUAACACGUAUCCAACCUGCCUCAUACUCGGGGAUAGCCUUUCGAAAGAAAGAUUAAUAUCCGAUAGCAUAUAUUUCCCGCAUGGGUUUUAUAUUAAAGAAAUUCGGUAUGAGAUGGGGAUGCGUUCCAUUAGUUUGUUGGGGGGGUAACGGCCCACCAAGACUACGAUGGAUAGGGGUUCUGAGAGGAAGGUCCCCCACAUUGGAACUGAGACACGGUCCAAACUCCUACGGGAGGCAGCAGUGAGGAAUAUUGGUCAAUGGACGCGAGUCUGAACCAGCCAAGUAGCGUGAAGGAUGACUGCCCUAUGGGUUGUAAACUUCUUUUAUAUGGGAAUAAAGUUGUCCACGUGUGGAUUUUUGUAUGUACCAUAUGAAUAAGGAUCGGCUAACUCCGUGCCAGCAGCCGCGGUAAUACGGAGGAUCCGAGCGUUAUCCGGAUUUAUUGGGUUUAAAGGGAGCGUAGGCGGAUUGUUAAGUCAGUUGUGAAAGUUUGCGGCUCAACCGUAAAAUUGCAGUUGAUACUGGCAGUCUUGAGUGCAGUAGAGGUGGGCGGAAUUCGUGGUGUAGCGGUGAAAUGCUUAGAUAUCACGAAGAACUCCGAUUGCGAAGGCAGCUCACUGGAGUGUAACUGACGCUGAUGCUCGAAAGUGUGGGUAUCAAACAGGAUUAGAUACCCUGGUAGUCCACACAGUAAACGAUGAAUACUCGCUGUUUGCGAUAUACAGUAAGCGGCCAAGCGAAAGCAUUAAGUAUUCCACCUGGGGAGUACGCCGGCAACGGUGAAACUCAAAGGAAUUGACGGGGGCCCGC
Molecule: ribosomal RNA, 872 nt
Filed under: uncultured Bacteroidaceae bacterium
Lineage: Bacteria; Pseudomonadati; Bacteroidota; Bacteroidia; Bacteroidales; Bacteroidaceae
Description: bacterial SSU rRNA
Rfam family: Bacterial small subunit ribosomal RNA
Source: RNAcentral